AAAGAUGACGAGUCCGAUCAAUUUUUCCAUUCUUUCAAUGGUGACGACAAUCGAGGCAUUUGUCUGAGAGAAAUCCUUUUUACUGCUAUAUUUUAAUUUUUCUAUUGUUAUUUCAUGAUCCAAUCUUUCUACUGAAGAUAUUAAUCUUCGAUCAGAUGGUUUUUUUUUUCCUCUUAAAUCGUUGAGAAAUUAUUUGCUGAUGAAAGGCGGGCAGUAGUGAUGAUUGAGAUAUUUCACAUUCUUAUUUUUUAAUGUGAUGAUUUUAACUCCUCCUACUCAAAAAAAAAAAACCAUCUGAUCGAAGAUUAAU
This 310-nucleotide unclassified non-coding RNA is filed under the name Hevea brasiliensis (rubber tree). The stretch from base 1 to 72 matches the Rfam family "Plant small nucleolar RNA SNOR75", at positions 18 to 87 of the family's 87-position model. Lineage: Eukaryota; Viridiplantae; Streptophyta; Magnoliopsida; Malpighiales; Euphorbiaceae. The record is from RNAcentral.